AUGAACGCUGGCGGCGUGCCUAAUACCUGCAAGUCGCACGAACAGACGAGGAGCUUGCUCCUCUGACGUUAGCGGCGGACGGGUGAGUAACACGUGGAUAACCUACCUAUAAGACUGGGAUAACUUCGGGAAACCGGAGCUAAUACCGGAUAAUAUAUUGCACCGCAUGGUUCAAUAGUGAAAGACGGUUUUGCUGUCACUUAUAGAUGGAUCCGCGCCGCAUUAGCUAGUUGGUAAGGUAACGGCUUACCAAGGCAACGAUGCGUAGCCGACCUGAGAGGGUGAUCGGCCACACUGGAACUGAGACACGGUCCAGACUCCUACGGGAGGCAGCAGUAGGGAAUCUUCCGCAAUGGGCGAAAGCCUGACGGAGCAACGCCGCGUGAGUGAUGAAGGUCUUCGGAUCGUAAAACUCUGUUAUUAGGGAAGAACAAAUGUGUAAGUAACUAUGCACGUCUUGACGGUACCUAAUCAGAAAGCCACGGCUAACUACGUG
This 496-nucleotide ribosomal RNA is filed under the name uncultured bacterium. RNAcentral describes it as "partial 16S ribosomal RNA". It matches the Rfam family "Bacterial small subunit ribosomal RNA", at positions 29 to 507 of the family's 1533-position model. The record is from RNAcentral.